UUUCUUAUGAGCUGAAUUCGAAAACGUUUUUGAGCUUGAAAUGUCCAAUUAAAUUAUUUUAGUCUGCAGAUAUCCAUAGUAGCGGGAGUUACUCAAUCGGUUUCAUUUUAGUUUUUGGCAAGACAACAAGUUGACUUCCAAACUACAUUUAUUUUACAGUUAUUAUACCUGGCACUUAAGUUAAAUGAGGUUAAGUUAUCAGGGCUAUUCCCGUCAGCUAGCUAUUUCAUAGCUAUAAAUGCCUUAUUCCCGGUUUAAAAAGGUCAAGUUAAAGACAAUAGUAGCGAUUCAUUUAAAUUAUAUAUUGUGAAUAUCAACAACAGUUACUAUUGAUUUACUUAAUUUUAAUAUAUUUUAAAUUCUUUAUCCUGACCUGAAGACUGGUGAACAUUUAAAAAAAAAAUUAAUAUCACUUUUGUUAUCUGAAGGUGAUCGUUAAAAUUAUAUACAAAAACAAGUACUACGCCUAAAAGAACCAAGCAAUUUAUUACCACAACGUUUCGCCUUAGUACAUAAAGUAAUUCCAAAUGUUUAAUGUCUCUCCUCUUAACGAUGAAACGUUCCUCCACCAAAAUGAGAAAUAUCAAAUGUACCCCGAAUUUAUUUAAAUAAUUUAACUACGUCUCUACUAUUUUACGGAUAUACGACGCUUGAUUCUCUUUGUCACUACGUGGAGGACAGUCGUCUAAAUGAUAUACUUAGGAACCAAUACUGAAGUGUGCAUGAAUCACUCAAAAAUUUGAAAUCAGAAUCCUUUGGCUUACUUUGUGCAACAUAAAUUUUAAUAAUAAAUUAUUGUAUGAAUCUA
Long non-coding RNA from Drosophila sechellia, 808 nucleotides. RefSeq lists it as uncharacterized. The transcript is spliced from 2 exons. The record is from RefSeq and is a predicted model, not a curated record. Lineage: Eukaryota; Metazoa; Arthropoda; Insecta; Diptera; Drosophilidae.